Molecule: ribosomal RNA, 465 nt
Filed under: uncultured bacterium
Lineage: Bacteria
Description: partial 16S ribosomal RNA
Rfam family: Bacterial small subunit ribosomal RNA
Source: RNAcentral
CCUACGGGAGGCAGCAGUAGGGAAUCUUCCACAAUGGGCGAAAGCCUGAUGGAGCAACGCCGCGUGGGUGAAGAAGGUCUUCGGAUCGUAAAACCCUGUUGUUAGAGAAGAAAGUGCGUGAGAGUAACUGUUCACGUUUCGACGGUAUCUAACCAGAAAGCCACGGCUAACUACGUCCCAGCAGCCGCGGUAAUACGUAGGUGGCAAGCGUUAUCCGGAUUUAUUGGGCGUAAAGGGAACGCAGGCGGUCUUUUAAGUCUGAUGUGAAAGCCUUCGGCUUAACCGGAGUAGUGCAUUGGAAACUGGGAGACUUGAGUGCAGAAGAGGAGAGUGGAACUCCAUGUGUAGCGGUGAAAUGCGUAGAUAUAUGGAAGAACACCAGUGGCGAAAGCGGCUCUCUGGUCUGUAACUGACGCUGAGGUUCGAAAGCGUGGGUAGCAAACAGGAUUAGAUACCCUAGUAGUC